AGUGGCGGACGGGUGAGUAACGCGUGGGUAACCUGCCUUAUACAGGGGGAUAACAACCAGAAAUGGUUGCUAAUACCGCAUAAGCGCACAGCAUUGCAUGAUGCAGUGUGAAAAACUCCGGUGGUAUAAGAUGGACCCGCGUUGGAUUAGCUAGUUGGUGAGGUAACGGCCCACCAAGGCGACGAUCCAUAGCCGACCUGAGAGGGUGACCGGCCACAUUGGGACUGAGACACGGCCCAAACUCCUACGGGAGGCAGCAGUGGGGAAUAUUGCACAAUGGGCGAAAGCCUGAUGCAGCGACGCCGCGUGAGCGAAGAAGUAUUUCGGUAUGUAAAGCUCUAUCAGCAGGGAAGAUAAUGACGGUACCUGACUAAGAAGCACCGGCUAAAUACGUGCCAGCAGCCGCGGUAAUACGUAUGGUGCAAGCGUUAUCCGGAUUUACUGGGUGUAAAGGGAGCGCAGGCGGUGCGGCAAGUCUGAUGUGAAAGCCCGGGGCUCAACCCCGGUACUGCAUUGGAAACUGUCGUACUAGAGUGUCGGAGGGGUAAGCGGAAUUCCUAGUGUAGCGGUGAAAUGCGUAGAUAUUAGGAGGAACACCAGUGGCGAA
Molecule: ribosomal RNA, 607 nt
Filed under: uncultured Lachnospiraceae bacterium
Lineage: Bacteria; Bacillati; Bacillota; Clostridia; Lachnospirales; Lachnospiraceae
Description: bacterial SSU rRNA
Rfam family: Bacterial small subunit ribosomal RNA
Source: RNAcentral